CUCCGAUGGGUAGCUGGCUUGAGAGAGCGACCAGCCACACUGGAACUGAGACACGGUCCAGACUCCUACGGGAGGCAGCAGUGAGGAAUUUUCCGCAAUGGGCGAAAGCCUGACGGAGCGAUGCCGCGUGUGGGAUGAAGGCCUUCGGGUUGUAAGCCUGUUCUUUGGGACGAGCAAGGACGGUACCAGAGGAAUCAGCCCCGGCUCACUACGUG
Molecule: ribosomal RNA, 215 nt
Filed under: uncultured actinomycete
Lineage: Bacteria; Bacillati; Actinomycetota; Actinomycetes; Actinomycetales
Description: partial 16S ribosomal RNA
Rfam family: Bacterial small subunit ribosomal RNA
Source: RNAcentral